ACAAUGAAGAGUUUGAUCCUGGCUCAGGAUGAACGCUAGCUACAGGCUUAACACAUGCAAGUCGAGGGGCAUCAGGAAGAAAGCUUGCUUUCUUUGCUGGCGACCGGCGCACGGGUGAGUAACACGUAUCCAACCUGCCCUUUACUCGGGGAUAGCCUUUCGAAAGAAAGAUUAAUACCCGAUAGCAUAAUGAUUCCGCAUGGUUUCAUUAUUAAAGGAUUCCGGUAAAGGAUGGGGAUGCGUUCCAUUAGGUUGUUGGUGAGGUAACGGCCCACCAAGCCUUCGAUGGAUAGGGGUUCUGAGAGGAAGGUCCCCCACAUUGGAACUGAGACACGGUCCAAACUCCUACGGGAGGCAGCAGUGAGGAAUAUUGGUCAAUGGGCGGUAGCCUGAACCAGCCAAGUAGCGUGAAGGAUGAAGGCUCUAUGGGUCGUAAACUUCUUUUAUAUAAGAAUAAAGUGCAGUAUGUAUACUGUUUUGUAUGUAUUAUAUGAAUAAGGAUCGGCUAACUCCGUGCCAGCAGCCGCGGUAAUACGGAGGAUCCGAGCGUUAUCCGGAUUUAUUGGGUUUAAAGGGAGCGUAGGUGGACUGGUAAGUCAGUUGUGAAAGUUUGCGGCUCAACCGUAAAAUUGCAGUUGAUACUGUCAGUCUUGAGUACAGUAGAGGUGGGCGGAAUUCGUGGUGUAGCGGUGAAAUGCUUAGAUAUCACGAAGAACUCCGAUUGCGAAGGCAGCUCACUGGACUGCAACUGACACUGAUGCUCGAAAGUGUGGGUAUCAAACAGGAUUAGAUACCCUGGUAGUCCACACAGUAAACGAUGAAUACUCGCUGUUUGCGAUAUACAGUAAGCGGCCAAGCGAAAGCAUUAAGUAUUCCACCUGGGGAGUACGCCGGCAACGGUGAAACUCAAAGGAAUUGACGGGGGCCCGCACAAGCGGAGGAACAUGUGGUUUAAUUCGAUGAUACGCGAGGAACCUUACCCGGGCUUAAAUUGCAGUGGAAUGAUGUGGAAACAUGUCAGUGAGCAAUCACCGCUGUGAAGGUGCUGCAUGGUUGUCGUCAGCUCGUGCCGUGAGGUGUCGGCUUAAGUGCCAUAACGAGCGCAACCCUUAUCUUCAGUUACUAACAGGUCAUGCUGAGGACUCUGGAGAGACUGCCGUCGUAAGAUGUGAGGAAGGUGGGGAUGACGUCAAAUCAGCACGGCCCUUACGUCCGGGGCUACACACGUGUUACAAUGGGGGGUACAGAAGGCAGCUAGCGGGUGACCGUAUGCUAAUCCCAAAAUCCUCUCUCAGUUCGGAUCGAAGUCUGCAACCCGACUUCGUGAAGCUGGAUUCGCUAGUAAUCGCGCAUCAGCCACGGCGCGGUGAAUACGUUCCCGGGCAUUGUACACACCGCCCGUCAAGCCAUGGGAGCCGGGGGUACCUGAAGUACGUAACCGCAAGGAUCGUCCUAGGGUAAAACUGGUGACUGGGGCUAAGUCGUAACAAGGUAGCCGUACCGGAAGGUGCGGCUGGAACACCUCCUUU
This 1529-nucleotide ribosomal RNA is filed under the name Bacteroides fragilis. RNAcentral describes it as "bacterial SSU rRNA". It matches the Rfam family "Bacterial small subunit ribosomal RNA". The record is from RNAcentral. Lineage: Bacteria; Pseudomonadati; Bacteroidota; Bacteroidia; Bacteroidales; Bacteroidaceae.